Molecule: ribosomal RNA, 256 nt
Filed under: uncultured bacterium
Lineage: Bacteria
Description: partial 16S ribosomal RNA
Rfam family: Bacterial small subunit ribosomal RNA
Source: RNAcentral
UACAGAGGUCCCAAGCGUUGUUCGGAUUCACUGGGCGUAAAGGGUGCGUAGGCGGUCGGGUAAGUCUGAUGUGAAAUCUCACAGCUUAACUGUGAAACUGCAUUGGAUACUAUCCGGCUCGAGGAAUGGAGGGGAGACUGGAAUACUUGAUGUAGCAGUGAAAUGCGUAGAUAUCAAGUGGAACACCAGUGGCGAAGGCGAGUCUCUGGACAUUUCCUGACGCUGAGGCACGAAAGCCAGGGGGAGCAAAACGGGG